This 497-nucleotide ribosomal RNA is filed under the name uncultured bacterium. RNAcentral's name for it is "partial 16S ribosomal RNA". It matches the Rfam family "Bacterial small subunit ribosomal RNA", at positions 28 to 507 of the family's 1533-position model. The record is from RNAcentral.
GACGAACGCUGGCGGCGUGCCUAAUACAUGCAAGUAGAACGCUGAAGAGAGGAGCUUGCUCUUCUUGGAUGAGUUGCGAACGGGUGAGUAACGCGUAGGUAACCUGCCUUGUAGCGGGGGAUAACUAUUGGAAACGAUAACUAAUACCGCAUAACAAUGGAUGACACAUGUCAUUUAUUUGAAAGGGGCAAUUGCUCCACUACAAGAUGGACCUGCGUUGUAUUAGCUAGUAGGUGAGGUAAUGGCUCACCUAGGCGACGAUACAUAGCCGACCUGAGAGGGUGAUCGGCCACACUGGGACUGAGACACGGCCCAGACUCCUACGGGAGGCAGCAGUAGGGAAUCUUCGGCAAUAGGGGCAACCCUGACCGAGCAACGCCGCGUGAGUGAAGAAGGUUUUCGGAUCGUAAAGCUCUGUUGUAAGUCAAGAACGGGUGUGAGAGUGGAAAGUUCACACUGUGACGGUAGCUUACCAGAAAGGGACGGCUAACUACGUG